CUGGCGCAGCGGAUAGCUACUUGGAAAUCCAAGAGGAAAGUCCGAGCUGCAGUGAGGCAGGGUUCCACCUAACGGGUGGCCGGUGAAAGCCGAGGGAAAGUGCAACAGAAAAUAAACCGCCGAUGGCCUUUUGGCACAGGCAAGGGUGAAAGGGUGAGGUAAGAGCUCACCGCUUCUGUGGUAACACAGAAGGCAGUGUAAACCCAACCCGCAGCAAGUCGCACCUGGUUGAAGCCUCACGUUACGAGUGCGACGCUUGAGCUUUAUGGUGACAUAAAGCCUAGAUAAAUUGCUAUCCAAGACAGAACUCGGCUUACAGCUGCGCCUCUAUA
Molecule: non-coding RNA, 332 nt
Organism: Nitratiruptor tergarcus DSM 16512
Lineage: Bacteria; Pseudomonadati; Campylobacterota; Epsilonproteobacteria; Nautiliales; Nitratiruptoraceae
Source: Rfam